This 30-nucleotide non-coding RNA is filed under the name Mus musculus (house mouse). The record is from RNAcentral. Lineage: Eukaryota; Metazoa; Chordata; Mammalia; Rodentia; Muridae.
UCCCUGUUCAUGGGUGCCUCGUGAUGAUGU